ACAAUAGACACAAUACACACACGUUCAAAAUAUUGCUCCAUUAUUCACUUUAGUUCACUCUCAUAUUCUUUUAUAUCACCACUGCUCUCUUUCAGUACUUUGAGAAAUAACAGAUAUAGCAUCAGAGCAGCUUAAGCGACAUGUUUCUCACCUGUUGCUCUGUAUUUCAAAGCCGAGCCCGCCGAUGUCGGAGCUGCAGCGGCUCUCCUCGUGGAGGUAAGUGGUUAGCCUGUUAGAUCGGGAGCUAGCAUUAGCAUGGACGACAAAAGGUUAAGUGCUAAUAAACUUUUUUUUUUUCUCCAGAUAAACAACUCGUCUUACCGACGUGACUCCUCUCCUUAGUGAAGUCACUUGGCUCCAGACUUCCAGCGGGUAAGGGCGCUGGCUUUCUUUUCCUCUUUCCACGGCUUAAUUCGGGUUUUUCUCCUUAUUUUCUCCGUCUGCUAAGCAGUUAGCCGCCAUCACUCCCAUGGCUGUUGAGGGCUCGUGAACUGAGCGGUGCAUUCAAAUGCAAUAGGAGAUUUUAAACUUCACCAAAGUAACAAGUAAAAAUAAGAAAAUAAAUACGCUCCCUUCUUUCUCUCAUCGAAUUGUGCUCAUUUUACAUCUGGGCUACACAUGAUCAUUUGAAUAGACGACAAAGCAGUAAAACGCUUAGACAGAAAACAUGGUUGAAGCAUGGGACCAAAGUGGGUUGGAUAUACUCAAAAGGCUGUCUAACUGCCAAAUUGCAAUACUGUGAGAUGGUGCAUGCUAACAGGACUUGUUUGUUGAUUUGUAAAACAGUAAGCAAUAGUAUGGUGGCCGAGAACUGCCACUGCUGCAAAUAAAAAAAGGAUGCAAAAAAAAAGAAGCCACGAAAGAAGUUACUGAUGAAAAAAAAAAAAAAACCUGCUGCAAAUAAUAAUAAUAAAAAAAAAGGAAAUAGGAACGGUGCAGAUUUUUUAUUUAAAAAAAAAAGGCACAACAGAAGUUAAUAACAAAAAAAAGGGGUGAUGCAAAAAAAAAAAAGUUACUGCGAAAAUAAAAGUAUGCAAAUAAAAGAAAAAAAAAAACACAAUGGAAGUGAGCUGCCGGGGACCAAUAAUGAAAAAAAGUGAGGGGUCUGUGUACUUAUUUCUAUGAGUAAAGCAACUGAACUCCAUUCUCCUCUCUUGGGUGGUCUUUUGGGGCGUAGUGAGUUUUUUGUGAACACGGCCAAAGCGGAGUUAAACAAUAACCUUUCCACUUACUUCUUUGCUCGUCUUCUUGCCAUCAUCCUCUGUGGCUAGAUCAUAAAACACUGGUAUCAUCGUUAUUGGACCCCAGCAGCUCACUUGCGAUGUGGCUUUUUUUAUUUGCAUUCUCUUAUUUUUGCAGUAAGUAACCUUUUUUUUUUUUUUUUUUUUCAUUUUCACUUAUUUUUUUGCAUCUUUAACAUCUGUUGUGUUUCUUUUAUUUUUUAUCUGCACCAUUUCUUUUUUAAGUGUAAAGAAAUGGUGCAGAUGAAAAAAAAAAAAAACAUUAUUUAUUUUUAUUUGCAGCAGUGGUGGUUCUUGGCCACCGUACAAUGGAGCACAAAACUACAGACAAAGAGUAUCUCAGUAAGUCCUGGUUAUUGAUAAUCAAAAUAUGGCCACCCUUCACCAAGGUGCAGCCCAUUUGGGACCCCAUUUAAACCCUAUUGAAAUAGAGUACAGAAAGGCUGAGCCCCAAUCAGGAGUCCCAUUCAGAAACAGAAAGUAAACUGAGUUACUGAAUAGGUUUAAAGUGGUUUAAAGUCUAUUCUAAUGGGCCCCGUUUAGAACCCAUAAAGAGUCUAUUUCUAGGCCAAUCUGGGAAGUGAGAAAAGAAGUGUAUGGCUGUGAAUAGGCAUCCUAAAAAUAGUCGUUCUGUACCUGUGGUAAUAGUUGAGCUUGACAUUCACUUCCACACAGUCUUGUGUUAAAGAGAUAGAGACAGCUUGUAUCAAGCCCUACAAGAUCACACAGUCUUGGUAGAUUAUGGUCUUACAAAUACUAUUUCAGGUAUUUUAUUCAGAGGGAUAGUGACUAAAAUAGGAAGUUACAGCUGACUUUGUAGUACAAGGACAAAAGUAAGAAUGAAUUUUCUGGCUGCUUUCAUUUUUGUGUGACUGGAAUUCAACUCAUGUUACAAGGUCGUCCUUAUCAUGCCUAAAACUAAAACAAAUAUAUAAUACUGUUUAGUCAUCUUCUUUUGAUGGUGUCUGGUUUUAUGUAUCUGUUAAGUAGUAAAACACACUCUACAGAAAAUAAAUCGACCAGAAAUUUCUAAUUAGUACAUUCAUGAAGACAUUUGUCAAGCCAAUUGUUCAUGCCUUGAAAUAAUCAGCUUUGAAUAGCCACUUUGUUAAGAGUCACCCAUUCAUCCUUGCACAGUGCAAAGUUCUGUAUGCUUGAAUGUAUUUGCUGCUCACAAUGUCAAAAAGGUGAUGCUGUGCACAGAAAUUAACCCCCUGCAGAAAUAGCAACCAAUUUACAGCAAACCAGUGUGCUUUGUGUAUUACUUACUCUGCUGCAGGUUGCGCAAGAUUUCGUCAGGUGCCCGCGCCAAACGAGGCAUGCAUGAUUGCACCACUUGUUGAAAAUGUAGACUCUACUCCUCAAUUUACUUGCUGCAGAUGGAAGCCAUAUACCUGUCCUGCAACCCCCAGAUAGUUAGAGGGAUUUAAUUAUCUGGAAGGAAGCUGGAAUAGCUCUGCAGCACCUGUCUGCUGGCGGUGCCUUUCCUCCUGAUUCUAUACAGAGAAGUGCAAAAUUAUCCUACACUCACAGUGUUGCAAACGCCUCGUGAAAAUAAUAUGAUUUUAUGCACAAAACUCUACAACUUUUUAUUUUAUUUUAAGAUGACCUCCUCAACUUUUUAAUCCAUUUGUUAACACUCAUUGUUGGGUGUGCAGAGAACAAGAAGGCUUUGAUCUGCAGGCUGUAGAGAGUCUUUUGUGAAUUCAGCGCUUGUCUCCAUCGGCAGCCUCAACAUACUGUAAAUGGUGUUAGAAACUAAGGUGAAGAAAAUCAAUAAAUUCAACGGAUUACAAGGCAGUACAUAGAGGAGGGCCAUGUGGGGAGAAUUCCACUAUCUCUGGCCUGUUAAUGACUGCCUGCCCCUUUGAAUUACAAAAGUGGAGACAGGGUGAGGAGUGCAGGAGAGUUUCUCUACUUCUUCUUGGCAGAGUGAUUACACCUGAGUGUCAACAAGGACCAAAUCAAUCAAUCAGGGUGUUUAUGUGUCUUUUACAAAUGCAAAAACUGAAAAACAUUGACGCAACAGGAGAUUUCCAGGAUAUAACUGUCUUGUUAUCUAUCUAAUAGGGAAAGGUUGAACAAAUGUUUGGUGCCAAACAACUUGGUUGAAGUAAAAGCUAAAGUCGUAGUGCACUUAUAGUAUAAGUGCACCAGUUAUGUCAUUUAAGAUGUACAUGUUGUGUCAAAGUUUUGUUGAAGGAUGCCAUAGGUCGGAUCUAUUACGCAGAUCUGUAUUUCCAUCUGCAUGCCUUCCAUCGGUUUUAUGUGCACACAUUAAAAGCCAAGGCAGGGAGCAGUAAUGAUCCCCAGGGAACUGAGCAGAGUGACAAACCAUAUGACACUGAAAAAAACACACUGUAGGCAGGUGUUAUCGGCUGGUUUCUAAUUGUCCUUCACUUUCUUCCCUUUAGAUUUGUACUUCUUCACUGAACUAAUGUAACUUACUGAAGGUUUAUAUUUAACUCACAGAUUGUCUUCAUUUAAUCAGAACAGUGUGACAUUUAGCUGAAUAAGAAGCAACUUGAUGAACCACAAGGCUCUCUUUAUUCUACCAGACAGGUCUGCUACAGUAGAUACAGGCCUCAAGAAGAAGAAAAAGAAAAAGAAGGACAACAACAACAAGAGGAACAAGAACUUUAUUAAUCCCAGAUAGGAAUUUCAAGGUCAUUACACACACAUAGCUCAUUUUCACACUUUGUUGGGUUUAAGUCCAACCCCUGUCCAAGAAGAUAAAUGUGAAUUACACCUGGGAAUUGGCGCUGCUUGUGAUGGAGAUCCUCUGAUCUUUGUCAUCUCGAGUCCAGCACUCUCUAUUACUCUCCCUGUGACCAUAAUAAAAG
RNAcentral lists this long non-coding RNA (4084 nucleotides) under Xyrichtys novacula (pearly razorfish). Lineage: Eukaryota; Metazoa; Chordata; Actinopteri; Labriformes; Labridae. The record is from RNAcentral.